This is a long non-coding RNA of Zonotrichia albicollis (white-throated sparrow), 1800 nucleotides long. Lineage: Eukaryota; Metazoa; Chordata; Aves; Passeriformes; Passerellidae. The record is from Ensembl.
GCUAUUUGCUGCCAGAAAAGCACCUUGGAUAUCUGGUUAAUGUCUCUUUUUUUUUUUCCCUAUAGGAAUUUUAAUGCAUCUUUGUGAAACACUAAAUUGCAGGAGCUCUUCCCAGGACAGCUGGGCAUGGAGCAGCAGAGGGAGCAAACCCAUCACUUCAGGCAGAUCUCUAAGAAAGGAAUGGGGGAUGGAAAAUGGGCAAGGGGAUGUGUAAGGCUCUGGAUGGUGAAUUCCUACUGCUCUGGAGUACAGAGCAGAUCAUGACUGAGUCACACAUGGAACAAGUUUAUUCUCAGUCACCAGAAUGGCAGAGCAGGAGAGCAGCAAGUGGCUGAAUUCCAAGAAAGCCAUGGAGUGGAAGUGAGGGUUCAUACAGUGUGUGUUUAAGGUUAGUGUGUCUUCAGCUGUGGCUCAGGCUGCAAAAAGAAGCAUUGCAGAACCAGGCAGUGAAGACACAGCCCAUAAAAGGCCAACUGCCAUUGUGAUGAUUGUAGAUUCAGAAUUACUGUUGAGAAGGAUGUUGCAUACAAGUGGAGUUGUUUCCUCUUUCAACUGAAGCCAAACCAACAGAAUUUCAUUAACUUCUUCUCCCUCUUCUUUGCCCCAGCUGUGUGAUCUAAUACAGCAGUAUGGAUGCUGGAAGCUUGGCUCAAAAACCAGCUGGAUACAUUGAUGGAACAAAAAUAAUGAGCUGCCAUUAAAUAUAGACAUCACCUCUGUUUGUCUGGGAGAUAGAACCCUGGAAAUAAAGGAAUUAGCCUGAAUUCAUUAUUGCUUUGUUUCUGUGCUCUAAUUUAGGCAUCUUCUCUUGGCCCCUAGGGCAGGACACUGAGUUAGGUUUUACUCUUUGUGGUACAUAUUUUCUUAUACUCUUGUAUUCAUUUCUGUUGAUUUUUUGGCCUCCUCUUAUAUUCAUUUCUGUUGAUUUUUUGGCCUCUGUGCUAUGUCUUAUUGCUUUGGGUUCAAUCAUCCCGGAUCCAGCAAAUGAUGUGGGGUUACCACAGCUACAGCUGCACAGAAGGACAAGGCCAUGUGCUGGCAAUGGAAUUACUGGUUGAACUGGAAGCCAGGGAGUGUUUUACAGACCACCUUCCACUGCAGAGUGCCCAGGGACUGCUGGAGUGCCAGGAAUCCCAGCUGCACAGUGCUCCUCCAGCAGAGCUGUUGGAACCUUGGAGCAGAAAGAUAAUCAGCAAAGAUUGGCUGAUGAGCCAAGGCUGCAGCAAAGAACCAGGUUGGUUUGGUGCUUUCUUUUUUUUUCCAUGGUCAGCAGUGCUUUUUCUGUUUUGCCAUUUUGGUUGGUUGAUGUGUAUGUCACUAAUUCACACACACUGAUGCUGUAUGUGUCUUUAAAUUUUGAGAAAUCAAAAUGUUUAUUCAAGCCUUUGCUGUGCUAGAGGAAAAAAUACUGCAUGGUUUUCCAUAUAACAUAGACAACAGGUUCUUCUUUACUCUGGACUGAAUUAAAGAUUUGCAUCCUUAUCCACAGGGAAAUUAGUGGUUCAGGAAGAGUCUGGGAAUGGUAGCAGAACUAAUGUCUGUCUGGAAAAAACCAGACUUGGGUAAACUUGGGAAUGGACAAAGGAAAGAACAGAACAAGGGCCAAAUCAACAGAGUCAUUGUUGUGGUACAGGUGAUAGGAGGAGCAAACCCUUCCCAAAGAAAGAGGAGCCUGGCAACUGCAAUAACCCCCCAAAGCCUAAACAAAUGAGAAAGGAGAGGUGAGCUUUCUCUCAAUAUAGCAUUUAUUAUUAUACUGAAAUUGCCAUAGCAAUAAAGCUACAGCUAUUUAUUAUAGCA